Molecule: ribosomal RNA, 1247 nt
Filed under: uncultured rumen bacterium
Lineage: Bacteria
Description: partial 16S ribosomal RNA
Rfam family: Bacterial small subunit ribosomal RNA
Source: RNAcentral
CUUAACACAUGCAAGUCGAGGGGCAGCGCGAGGUAGCAAUACUUUGGCGGCGACCGGCGAAAGGGUGCGUAACGCGUGAGCAACUUGCCCGUAUCUGGGACAUAAGCGGUGGAAACGUCGUCUAAUUUCCCAUAACAACAGAGGCCGCAUGACUUCUGUUUGAAAGAUCCGUCGGAUACGGAUGGGCUCGCGAGACAUUAGCUAGUCGGCGUGGUAACGGCACACCGAGGCGACGAUGUCUAGGGGUUCUGAGAGGAAGGUCCCCCACACUGGAACUGAGACACGGUCCAGACUCCUACGGGAGGCAGCAGUGAGGAAUAUUGGUCAAUGGGCGCAAGCCUGAACCAGCCAUGCCGCGUGAAGGAAUAAGGCCCUAUGGGUCGUAAACUUCUUUUGUGGUGGAGCAAUAAGGUGUACGUGUACACCGAUGAGAGUACAUCACGAAUAAGCAUCGGCUAACUCCGUGCCAGCAGCCGCGGUAAUACGGAGGAUGCAAGCGUUAUCCGGAUUUAUUGGGUUUAAAGGGUGCGUAGGCUGUGGGGAAAGUCAGGGGUGAAAGCCCGGCGCUUAACGCCGGAACUGCCUUUGAUACUUCUCCGCUGGAAUACGGAUGCCGUGGGAGGAAUGAGUAGUGUAGCGGUGAAAUGCAUAGAUAUUACUCAGAACACCGAUUGCGAAGGCAUCUCACGAAUCCGUCAUUGACGCUGAGGCACGAAAGCGUGGGGAUCAAACAGGAUUAGAUACCCUGGUAGUCCACGCAGUAAACGAUGAUAACUAACCGUCGGCGAUACACAGUCGGUGGCCAAGCGAAAGCGAUAAGUUAUCCACCUGGGGAGUACGUUCGCAAGAAUGAAACUCAAAGGAAUUGACGGGGGCCCGCACAAGCGGAGGAACAUGUGGUUUAAUUCGAUGAUACGCGAGGAACCUUACCCGGGCUCGAACGGCAAGUGAAGGAUAGAGAUUAUGACGCCCUUCGGGCACUUGUCGAGGUGCUGCAUGUUGUCGUCAGCUCGUGUCGUGAGAUGUUGGCUUAAGUGCAUAACGAGCGCACCCUUGUCGCAGUUACAUCAGUAUGUUGGGACUCUGGCGAGAUGCACCGCAAGGGUGAGGAAGCGGGAUUACUUCAAUCACCGCCUACUCGGGCGACACCUGUUUCAAUGCGCUACAGAGCACUGGGAGGAGCGAUUCGAGUCCCAUUCGAUGAUGCACGACUUGACUGAUGCGAUAUCGCUAACAUGCGCGUAUGU